RNAcentral lists this ribosomal RNA (253 nucleotides) under uncultured bacterium. RNAcentral's name for it is "partial 16S ribosomal RNA". It matches the Rfam family "Bacterial small subunit ribosomal RNA", at positions 524 to 776 of the family's 1533-position model. The record is from RNAcentral.
UACGUAGGUGGCAAGCGUUAUCCGGAUUUACUGGGUGUAAAGGGCGUGUAGGCGGGGACGCAAGUCAGAUGUGAAAACCACGGGCUCAACCUGUGGCCUGCAUUUGAAACUGUGUUUCUUGAGUACUGGAGAGGCAGACGGAAUUCCUAGUGUAGCGGUGAAAUGCGUAGAUAUUAGGAGGAACACCAGUGGCGAAGGCGGUUUGCUGGACAGCAACUGACGCUGAGGCGCGAAAGCGUGGGGAGCAAACAGG